RNAcentral lists this ribosomal RNA (757 nucleotides) under Trichodorus sp. CA103. Its description in RNAcentral is "eukaryotic LSU rRNA". It matches the Rfam family "Eukaryotic large subunit ribosomal RNA", at positions 367 to 947 of the family's 3401-position model. Lineage: Eukaryota; Metazoa; Nematoda; Enoplea; Triplonchida; Trichodoridae. The record is from RNAcentral.
AAAAGAACUUAGAGGUGAGAGUUCAACAGGGCGUAAAACCGCUUAGAAGCAAACGGAUGGUGCUGACAUUACUUCUAUCGGAUUCAACCAGUCUGACCGGUGACAGCCUGCUUACUGAUCGCAAGACAGUCUAGCGGGAUUUUUCAUUCUAAGACUGGUGCAUUUUCGGUAGAGUGCAUCAUGACCGAUGGUUGCGCUGGCAUAUGGACGAUUGGCUGCCGGCUGAAGGUUCUCGGACUUUCAGUGACCCACCUUUCGCUCCUGUCAACCGGGUUGCUUCCAUCGGGAACCUGUCGCGCCCGCAAUGCUCGUAUCCAGUUUCCUUUGGGCCGGUCGAACUGCAGAGUUGUGCUUGCACAGCCUUGCGACCCUCGGUCUUUUGCGUUAUUGGAUGACGAGAUGGCGUUUAAGGUCAAUGGUGUCCGCGUCAGUCUCCCAUCCGACCCGUCUUGAAACACGGACCAAGGAGUCUAACAUGUGCGCAAGUCAUGGGGUGUUAAACCCAAAGGCGUAAUGAAAGUAAAGGCCGCAAGGCCGAGGUGUGAUGUUCAGUUCGCUGGACCGCAACACCGUCCCAUCGCAUCGGCUUGUCCGGGCGGUGGAGAAAGAGCGUACACGUUGGGACCCGAAAGAUGGUGAACUAUGCCUGAGCAGGAUGAAGCCAGAGGAAACUCUGGUGGAGGUCCGUAGCGGUUCUGACGUGCAAAUCGAUCGUCAGACUUGGGUAUAGGGGCGAAAGACUAAUCGAACCAUCUAG